AGGGAUUUAGGUUAACUUAAACCAGGAGCCUUCAAAGCCCCUAAUAGGAGUUAAAAUCUCCCAAUCCCUG
Molecule: transfer RNA, 70 nt
Filed under: Entelurus aequoreus (snake pipefish)
Lineage: Eukaryota; Metazoa; Chordata; Actinopteri; Syngnathiformes; Syngnathidae
Description: tRNA-Trp
Rfam family: tRNA
About the family: Transfer RNA (tRNA) molecules are approximately 80 nucleotides in length. Their secondary structure includes four short double-helical elements and three loops (D, anti-codon, and T loops).
Source: RNAcentral